GCCACACUGAUAUUAAAAGUAAAAGUUUGUCCCAUGCUUUUGUUUUUCAACGCAUGCUUCCUUGAGAUGCGGCCCUUUAAUCAUCGCUCUCAUGCCUCUGAGGGACUCAUACCUCCCUCAUACUUCAGCGUCUCUUAUGUUUCCCAGAGGAAUACCAAUCCCCGACAGAACAAAAGGGAUGAGUUUCUGCUUCGGAGGCGCCCAUGCACGUAAGACAGAGUAGUAAUUUAAUACAAGUUAUUUUCUGGUACAUUGGAUAAAUUGGAAUGGCUACAGUACUCUCCCUGUAAACACAUUUGUAAUUGUGCUCGCCGAGGAAAUGGAUGUCUGUGAUUUACAAAUUACGGCUCAGUGAUGCUGAGCUUAAACACUAGCGCCCAGCUGCUCCCCAGGUGUCACCGGCAGAGGCGCCGCGUCGGAGUCGCUCGCGUUUCUUGAUCCGGAUCUUCGGGGACAAACGAGCUGCCGCUGCCGCUCGCUGGCGGCAUUUGCAUCACAGAGGACGCCGCUCGCUGCUUUGUAUGCGGAGUGCGGGCGCCCGUGCAUGGCGACCAUUUUGGAAAGGUGGUAACAGAACUUCAAAGUGUCCAUUACGGCUCUCUGCUCGCGUACUGUCGCUCACCUGCUACUGUUGAUGCUCCACAGCCACAGGAUGCAUCAGAGCAACUCGGGACGGAGAGUCAGCGGAGCUAUUUUCCUUCAUUUCACUUUGAUAUGUGCUGUAAAACAUGAGAGGAGGGAGAGCUACUGUAUUUACAGUAGCUCCUCUCAACCAAGCAUAACACAAGAUGGUGCACUUAACAGACGCUUGCAACAGAAGCUGCUCCUGGAGGAAUAUUUGGAUGGAAUGUUAUGCAAAGAGCACAAAAUACUGAUGUUUUGUAAAAGCUGCUGGCGACUUAAAUACUCAUAUUGGACCUUUCUAAUGCACAGGAUUUCCAGUUAUCUCCAUUUCCAGCCCACUUGCAGCAACAUUAAAUGCCCAGAGCAAUAACACUGCUUCUAUUGAGUUCGAUGUACAUCUACCUGCAGCGAUAUUGGACAUUUGGACAUGUGACGUUCCCACCACAGAGUCAGGUGUUGGCACAGAACUUCCCUCUCAGUCAGAGGAACCAUCGUUUUGUUGUCUCUAAAUUCCUCAAUUCACUUUUAAUGUCGUCAGUCCUCAGAUGACAUGAAGACAUUUUAAGUAUCUAUCUACUAGAUUUAAGCAUCUAGGAUGGAUGUAUAGCAGCAAAUGCCUGGAACCCUUUUCCAGAUGGAUUUAAAUGAACUUUAAAUGUGUGUGGUUUGUCAGAAAAG
RNAcentral lists this long non-coding RNA (1302 nucleotides) under Betta splendens (Siamese fighting fish). Its description in RNAcentral is "lncRNA (ENSBSLG00000018930.1)". Lineage: Eukaryota; Metazoa; Chordata; Actinopteri; Anabantiformes; Osphronemidae. The record is from RNAcentral.